CGUUGAUGAUCGGUGCUUGCACCGAGAUUCAACAUGGAACGAGUGGCGGACGGGUGAGUAACACGUGGGUAACCUGCCCUUAAGUGGGGGAUAACAUUUGGAAACAGAUGCUAAUACCGCAUAGAUCCAAGAACCGCAUGGUUCUUGGCUGAAAGAUGGCGUAAGCUAUCGCUUUUGGAUGGACCCGCGGCGUAUUAGCUAGUUGGUGAGGUAAUGGCUCACCAAGGCGAUGAUACGUAGCCGAACUGAGAGGUUGAUCGGCCACAUUGGGACUGAGACACGGCCCAAACUCCUACGGGAGGCAGCAGUAGGGAAUCUUCCACAAUGGACGCAAGUCUGAUGGAGCAACGCCGCGUGAGUGAAGAAGGCUUUCGGGUCGUAAAACUCUGUUGUUGGAGAAGAAUGGUCGGCAGAGUAACUGUUGUCGGCGUGACGGUAUCCAACCAGAAAGCCACGGCUAACUACGUGCCAGCAGCCGCGGUAAUACGUAGGUGGCAAGCGUUAUCCGGAUUUAUUGGGCGUAAAGCGAGCGCAGGCGGUUUUUUAAGUCUGAUGUGAAAGCCCUCGGCUUAACCGAGGAAGCGCAUCGGAAACUGGGAAACUUGAGUGCAGAAGAGGACAGUGGAACUCCAUGUGUAGCGGUGAAAUGCGUAGAUAUAUGGAAGAACACCAGUGGCGAAGGCGGCUGUCUGGUCUGUAACUGACGCUGAGGCUCGAAAGCAUGGGUAGCGAACAGGAUUAGAUACCCUGGUAGUCCAUGCCGUAAACGAUGAAUGCUAGGUGUUGGAGGGUUUCCGCCCUUCAGUGCCGCAGCUAACGCAUUAAGCAUUCCGCCUGGGGAGUACGACCGCAAGGUUGAAACUCAAAGGAAUUGACGGGGGCCCGCACAAGCGGUGGAGCAUGUGGUUUAAUUCGAAGCAACGCGAAGAACCUUACCAGGUCUUGACAUCUUUUGAUCACCUGAG
This 965-nucleotide ribosomal RNA is filed under the name Lacticaseibacillus paracasei. RNAcentral's name for it is "bacterial SSU rRNA". It matches the Rfam family "Bacterial small subunit ribosomal RNA", at positions 67 to 1003 of the family's 1533-position model. Lineage: Bacteria; Bacillati; Bacillota; Bacilli; Lactobacillales; Lactobacillaceae. The record is from RNAcentral.